CACACACACACACACGCACACACACACACACACACACACACACACACACACACACACGCACACAGAAAAUAAACAACAUCAUUAUGAAAGGCUGGUGGGGACAACCUAGCUCAAGUUUAAACAAAAAAGUGUACACACAUAUUUCCACAUACCUGUAUGCAACUAGCCUUAGGCAAACAUGUCUCUCCACACUCUCACACAGCCAUUGACAUGAUGCCGACGAACAACACACAGUAGAAACUGGACAGAGGCAGGAGUACUAACACAGAGCACACAAGUCUUUCUAAGGGAACAGGAAUGUCCUCUUACUUCACCAGAGGCUGGUAAACAUUGUAAAUCCACCUGAAAGCCAACAGCCCCAGGGCAGGGAGACUCUCUAUGUCAACACUACAUACACACCUCUUCCACUGAAAUCGUGGUACUACCAUGUCACCUGUCCUUCACCUCUCCCUCACAACACCACAAACAUCCCAAGAAUGGCUCUCCAAGGACAAGCACAGUACACCUCUCCCUAGCCAGGCGCAUGUCUCUGUCUUUUUGAUAUCACUCAUUAUUUAUUUUCCUUCUUCUCUAUCUUACAUCACUCUCUCUGACUGACAGUUUUCCUGGACUGCAGAAUGGAGAAUCGUUUCGUGUAUCCAGCUUCUUGACAGUCAGACUGUAGAUGAACUUCUAGCUGGAGCAUUGACUGACAAAGCAUUCCAUUUACUGAGGUCAAAGACAUACUUCUACAUACCGUUAGGCGUGCGUAUGCUGCCAGCUUGACACACCAACACACAGGCAAUAUGCUCACUCAAUCUCCAUUCUUACCCACCCACUCUGCACUAACCCUUCCUGAGUUAUAGAAAUCCGUCUAGUGUGAGGCAAAUGAAAUUGAAGACAUUUUCGGGUCACAGUAAAGGAGUACGGACAAAAACACAUACAGUACAUGGCUAACAAACAUCAGACAGGGACAAUGCUACAUUCACUUGGCACAACAAUGGGAGAGAAAACGUAUAAACAAAGACAACUACUGCACAUACAGUACGAUUCCAAGGGCAACAGGAAUCACUAUCCUGGUAGAUAAGAACUGGGACUACCUGAACUAGAAAUAAAAAACACUCAAUCCAAUUUAAACAACAAUGUGGAAUUGCCACAAUCUCUGCUGUCCCCUCCAUCUAAAUACUACUUUAUUUUAACCUCACACACUUUAGUACAACUUGAAUACAACCUUAUAACAAGCCACUAUAUUGUAUUAUACAUUAGGCUGAAUCUCCUGACUGCAUUCCCCUUACUUUGAGUCCUGUCCUCUACCACCUACCUGUCCUGCCCACUGCGCCUCUCACCUCUCCAACUAACCUGACACACUGCUCUGAUUGUAAAGCUGACCUAAGCAGACAUUGCAGAUCGGGUGAAUGUGGCUUCCUGUAUGUGUGUGUGUGUGUGAUUAUUUUGUUUACUCCUAAAACAAGAAAAACAAACUGUGGUGAAUCUCUGGGUUCACUUAACACUCAUCUCAACACGCAAGCAUCCCCACUGGAGCAUGAACACUGUUACUUAAUAUGUCUCUAACAGAAAAUAAAAAGUGAGUGUGUGUGUGUGGGAACCAGAGUUCAGAAGGAAACUGUGCUAGGGGGAAGAAAAAGGCAGUUGCACAUGUAAGGCCAGGCCAUUGAUAGAAGGUAGCUAGCGGUUGCUGAGGGUAAACUAACUAACUGGUUGCUGAGGUUCUAGAGAGGGUAUGACAGAGGCUGGCUGGCCAUGGAUACCUGAACUAGGAGUCAGAGGUUAGAGGUCACUAGUGGGUGUAGCAUCAUGGGUACUGUAGUCCUUACUGGACAGUCUGUCACUGCAUAUGUGAACAUCUCCCUGAAUUUUUUGAAUGGCAGGCCGUGCAACUGCAACAACUUAAUAGGAAUUGAAAGUUGCUGAAAUGACUAGGCUGGUAUGUUAACGGCUGAUUGAAUUCUUUGAAGGGUGUAUGUGAGCCUGUAUGUGUAUUUGUGUGUGUGUGUGUGUGUGUGUGUGUGUGUGUCUCUUUAUUUUGGUUCUAACAUUGAGGGAGAAGGUUUUUAUUGCAGAGAGCUUCUAGAAGGAACGAUUGACAUGUUAUAGCCAGCCAGAGAGAGAGAUGAGAGGAAAGGCUUUUAACUAGUGUGCUCUCUAGAGACAUAGCUUCACCCCCCAUCUGUGGCUGGCCAUAAAAGGGAGGUAUGAGAGGAGGAGCACUCUAAUGGUUAUAAUGUAUGCUUGUUGUCUGACUAUUAGUAUUGGAAAGCAGCCUACACACAACUGCCAUGAUGCUAUGCAUUUGCACUAGAAAACAUUACCUGAAAGGGUUUGAUUGUUGAGUGGUGUGUGUGUCAUUGUUUUGCUGUAUUUUCCCAUAAUGAGAGUUUAGGAGGGGUAAGUCAGUCAGAACAAUACUUAACUCAACCAGGGUCUCAUUUUGGUUCAAUGUGUAUGAAUGCAAAACCAUUUACAGAUGCCGUAUCUUAAUUUGAGCCAGUUUCACAGAGCAGGAAAAUAAUCCUGCAGCAACAUCCUGCAGCAAAUGAUAAUUUUUUAUGUAGAGUAUAAU
Molecule: long non-coding RNA, 2560 nt
Filed under: Salmo salar (Atlantic salmon)
Lineage: Eukaryota; Metazoa; Chordata; Actinopteri; Salmoniformes; Salmonidae
Description: lncRNA (ENSSSAG00000091019.1)
Source: RNAcentral